This 300-nucleotide ribosomal RNA is filed under the name uncultured Sulfuricurvum sp. Its description in RNAcentral is "bacterial SSU rRNA". The stretch from base 52 to 300 matches the Rfam family "Bacterial small subunit ribosomal RNA", at positions 547 to 795 of the family's 1533-position model. The record is from RNAcentral. Lineage: Bacteria; Pseudomonadati; Campylobacterota; Epsilonproteobacteria; Campylobacterales; Sulfurimonadaceae.
GAGGAAGAAGUGCCGGGGGGCGUGGUAAGACGUGAGUGGUGAGGGGUGUGCGGAAUUACAGGGCGUAAAGGGGGCGUAGGCGGAUGGUUAAGUGAGAUGGGAAAGACCCGGGCUCAACUUAGGUGCUGCAUUUCAAACUGGAAGUCUAGAGUGCAGGAGAGGAGAAUGGAAUUCCUAGUGUAGCGGUGAAAUGCGUAGAGAUUAGGAAGAACACCAGUGGCGAAGGCGAUUCUCUGGACUGUAACUGACGCUGAGGCUCGAAAGCGUGGGGAGCAAACAGGAUUAGAUACCCCAGUAGUC